GGCGGCGUGGUGUAAUGGCUAACACAUCAGUCAGGUCUACUGAAGAUGCUGGUUCGCUCCCAGCCGCCGAUU
RNAcentral lists this transfer RNA (72 nucleotides) under Meloidogyne javanica (root-knot nematode). It matches the Rfam family "tRNA". Rfam says of the family: Transfer RNA (tRNA) molecules are approximately 80 nucleotides in length. Their secondary structure includes four short double-helical elements and three loops (D, anti-codon, and T loops). The record is from Rfam by way of RNAcentral. Lineage: Eukaryota; Metazoa; Nematoda; Chromadorea; Rhabditida; Meloidogynidae. RNAcentral also lists the same sequence under 1 other name.